UACGAAGGGGGCUAGCGUUGUUCGGAAUCACUGGGCGUAAAGCGUAUGCAGGCGGACCGUUAAGUCGGGGGUGAAAUCCCAGGGCUCAACCCUGGAACUGCCUUCGAUACUGGCGGCCUUCGAGUCCGGGAGAGGUGAGUGGAACUCCGAGUGUAGAGGUGAAAUUCGUAGAUAUUCGGAAGAACACCAGUGGCGAAGGCGGCUCACUGGCCCGGUACUGACGCUGAGAUACGAAAGCGUGGGGAGCAAACAGG
This 254-nucleotide ribosomal RNA is filed under the name uncultured bacterium. RNAcentral describes it as "partial 16S ribosomal RNA". It matches the Rfam family "Bacterial small subunit ribosomal RNA", at positions 524 to 776 of the family's 1533-position model. The record is from RNAcentral.